Molecule: microRNA precursor, 72 nt
Filed under: Pristionchus pacificus
Lineage: Eukaryota; Metazoa; Nematoda; Chromadorea; Rhabditida; Neodiplogasteridae
Description: microRNA ppc-mir-228 precursor
Gene: ppc-mir-228
Source: miRBase by way of RNAcentral
AAUGGCACUGCAUGAAUUCACGGCGUUCAACCACUUGAGCGUACCAUAGCCGUGCUUUCUCGGUGACAUUCC